This 296-nucleotide ribosomal RNA is filed under the name Phyllium jacobsoni. RNAcentral describes it as "partial 12S ribosomal RNA". Lineage: Eukaryota; Metazoa; Arthropoda; Insecta; Phasmatodea; Phylliidae. The record is from RNAcentral.
GAGGAACUUGCCCCUUAAUCGAUAGUCCUCGUUUUAUCUUUCUUUGUUUUGUUUUCAGUAUGUAUAUCGCCGUUAUAAGUUUAUUUUAUUAGAUUUUAAUUUACUAAUUUUAUUAUUUUAAUUUAUUUCAGGUCAAGGUGCAGCUUAUAACUUAGUGUAGGUGAGUUACAAUAUUUUANAAUAUACGUAUUAUAUUAAUAAUUUUUUAUAUGAAGGUGGAUUUGAUAGUAAUUUAAAUUAAAGAGUUUUUUUGAUUUUAGCUCUAAAUUGAGUACACAUCGCCCGUCGCUCUAUAC